GUCUGGGUGGCUCAGUCGGUUAAGCAUCUGACUUCGGCUCAGGUCGUGAUAUCGCACUUUGUGAGUUCGAGCCUCGCAUCAGGCU
Molecule: transfer RNA, 85 nt
Organism: Felis catus (domestic cat)
Lineage: Eukaryota; Metazoa; Chordata; Mammalia; Carnivora; Felidae
Rfam family: tRNA
About the family: Transfer RNA (tRNA) molecules are approximately 80 nucleotides in length. Their secondary structure includes four short double-helical elements and three loops (D, anti-codon, and T loops).
Source: Rfam